This 251-nucleotide ribosomal RNA is filed under the name uncultured prokaryote. Its description in RNAcentral is "partial 16S rRNA". It matches the Rfam family "Bacterial small subunit ribosomal RNA", at positions 525 to 775 of the family's 1533-position model. The record is from RNAcentral.
ACGGGGGGAACGAGCGUUGUUCGGAUUUACUGGGCGUAAAGGGCGUGCAGGCGGAGUUUUAAGUCGGAUGUGAAAACCCCGGGCUUAACCCGGGGCCUGCAUCUGAUACUGUUAAUCUUGAGUACGGGAGAGGAAAGCGGAAUUCCAGGUGUAGCGGUGACAUGCGUAGAUAUCUGGAAGAGCACCGGUGGCGAAGGCGGCUUUCUGGACCGAUUCUGACGCUGAGGCGCGAAAGCCAGGGGAGCAAACAU